GCCAGGUAUGGUGAUGCACACCUGUAAUCCCAGUGACAUGGGAGGCUGAGGCAGGAGGAUUGUAAGUGUGAGGCCAGCCUGAGCAACUUAGUGAGAAACUGUCUGAAGAUUAAAAAAAAAAAAAAAAGCCUCCAGUGUUGCUCAUUGGUUGGUUAAGCAUCACUGGGUUCAAUACCCAGUGUCCC
Molecule: small RNA, 185 nt
Filed under: Marmota monax (woodchuck)
Lineage: Eukaryota; Metazoa; Chordata; Mammalia; Rodentia; Sciuridae
Source: RNAcentral